Molecule: ribosomal RNA, 460 nt
Filed under: uncultured bacterium
Lineage: Bacteria
Description: partial 16S ribosomal RNA
Rfam family: Bacterial small subunit ribosomal RNA
Source: RNAcentral
CCUACGGGAGGCAGCAGUGAGGAAUAUUGGUCAAUGGUCGGGAGACUGAACCAGCCAAGCCGCGUGAGGGAGGAAGGUACAGAGUAUCGUAAACCUCUUUUGUCAGGGAACAAAGGCCGGGACGUGUCCCCGGAUGAGUGUACCUGAAGAAAAAGCAUCGGCUAACUCCGUGCCAGCAGCCGCGGUAAUACGGAGGAUGCGAGCGUUAUCCGGAUUUAUUGGGUUUAAAGGGUGCGCAGGCGGUCUUUUAAGUCAGCGGUGAAAGCCCGGGGCUCAACCCCGGCCCGGCGGUGGAACCUGGCAGUCUCGAGUUGGAGAGAGGUAGGCGGAAUGCGUGGUGUAGCGGUGAAAUGCAUAGAUAUCGCGCAGAACUCCGAUUGCGAAGGCAGCAUGCCGGCUCCACACUGACGCUGAUGCUCGAAAGCGCGGGUAUCGAACAGGAGUAGAUACCCCAGUAGUC